UGGUACAACGAGUCGCAAGACCGCGAGGUUUAGCAAAUCUCUUAAAGCCGUUCUCAGUUCGGAUUGUAGGCUGCAACUCGCCUACAUGAAGUCGGAAUCGCUAGUAAUCGCGGAUCAGCAUGCCGCGGUGAAUACGUUCCCGGGCCUUGUACACACCGCCCGUCACACCAUGAGAGUUUGUAACACCCAAAGCCGGUGGGGUAACCUUUUGGAGCCAGCCGUCUAAGGUGGGACAGAUGAUUGGGGUGAAGUCGUAACAAGGUAAC
This 266-nucleotide ribosomal RNA is filed under the name uncultured bacterium. RNAcentral describes it as "partial 16S ribosomal RNA". It matches the Rfam family "Bacterial small subunit ribosomal RNA", at positions 1235 to 1500 of the family's 1533-position model. The record is from RNAcentral.